GGGCUCCCUGAGGGAGGCCAGCACAAGAGCUCUGCCAUAAAAGGACAUUGGACAGAAGUGAAGAGUCCAAUCAGAAACUCUUUUUGAGAGACUGAACGCAAAGCAUUCAGAGAGUCAGCAGGCUGGAGAGGCCAAGACACACACACGAAGAAGGCAUAACAGGAGCAGAAACAGAAGCCAAGAGAGGGUAGAGAAUUAGUCCUAGCGAAGAAAAAAUGAGUGCAGAUAAGCAGAAUGGAAGACCGGAAUCAGGAGCACAGCCAGCUGCUAGAGUGCCCUGUCAUCUCCUCAAAUGUUGCUCUUAUUCACUGAAGCAAGCUGACUCCCCAAUACCAUGUACAUACUGAACCCAGAAGAGGGGAGAAAAGAAGGAAGGAUUGUGCAUAGGAGUUCCUUUUGAAGAAGUGACAUGGAGGUUAGACACAUCACUUCUGCUCACAUUUCCCUGAUGAGAAUUUAGUCACAUGGCCAUGCCUGGCCACAAGGAAGGUUGGAAAAUUUAGUCUCUAAAAUUAGAGCAAUUAUUUCCCCUUUUCCUUUUAGGAACAGAGCCUCCUGUUUUCACCAAACCUAACAAUGAUCAGCCACACUGACUCUGAUUGAGUUAAGUAGAAAAGAAGUUUAUUAAAAGAUGACCAAGGAGCUCACAGAAACACCAGGAAAUUUUGAGAAGGUUCAGAAAACAGGUAGAAGAAGAGAGACUCUAGGUAUCUAGAACCCAAGUACAAAUCAUGCCACAAGAACAUGAGCAAUGGGCACUGCUGCUAAUAGCACUAGACACUGGACAUCAGAGCUUGCACUUGCCACCAGCAGAGGAAACCAGUGAAUGUUACUUUAUAGGGCAAAGGGGACUUUGCACAUGUAAUCUUGGAAGAGUAUCCCGGAUUACUUAGGGCUCAGUGUAACCACAAGGGUCCUUAUAAGAGGGAUGCAGGCGAUCAGAGGGAGAAGUAGGAGAGGUGAUGACCGAAGCAGAGAUUGAAGUGAUGCAGCCACAGGCCAAGGAAUUCUGGCAGUCACUAGAAGCUGAAAAGGGCAGGCCCCAGCUCUCCUGAAGCUCUCAGAGGAAGCAAUCCUGUCAGUUCCUUGAUUUUAGCACUAAUGUCAGACUUCUGACCUCCAGAAUUGUAAGAUAAUAAAUUUGUGUUCCUCACCACAAUCAAGCUAAUUAACAUUUCCAUCACCUCAC
RNAcentral lists this long non-coding RNA (1189 nucleotides) under Homo sapiens (human). Its description in RNAcentral is "HSALNT0322753". Lineage: Eukaryota; Metazoa; Chordata; Mammalia; Primates; Hominidae. The record is from RNAcentral.